CUUCCCUCAGUGAUGGGCUGUUUACCUGGAAGUAUAAGCUGAAAUAAACCCGUUCCUCCCCAAGUUGCUGUUGGUCACGAUGUUUCAUGACAACAAUAGAAACCCUAAUUCAAACAAAGCUGCUUCUGGACUCACCCAGCACACUAUUUAAUAGCUUAUUUGAUUAUAAUUGUGUGUGAACUCUAAAAUGAUUUGAAGUAAAUACAUAAACCAGAAAGUCUUUUCACUAUCAAGUAUUAUGUGCUAUCUAUAAUUUAUAUAGUAUACUUUUAUCUGACUGGCACAGCAGUCAGUCACAUGAGAGUACAACAAACAUGCAACGUGGUGAGUAACAAUAUUACGAUGACUACAGCACCACUAGGUAACAGGACAUUUUCAACUCCAUUACAAUUUUAUGGGAGCACUGCUGUAUAGAAGCCAUCAAUGACUAUAAACGUCAUAGGGCACGAGACUUUAUUAGACAUGAAACACCAUAUUUUCAUCAUAGGAUAAUUAAUUAUACACCAUACCCUGGCAUUUAGUAUGUAGGACUCAACCCUACAGGGUUGUAUGCCCUUCUGGCACCAUAGCUGAGCUUUCAACAGCCUGUUCUAUGCUAUUAAGCACUCUGUAAAGCUAUGAUAGCUGGCACGAAGAUGGCAGAUCCUGGCAGAGAAGGUAAAUCCUUUCACAGAAUAUAUAACCAAUUCUGAACAAUUAAUGCUCUCUUGAUGAUAUAAAAGACCCAAGUAAUUGAAUUGGCACAACAUAGCUUUCUGCUCCACUCAAGAUAUGAUGGGAUAUCAAGGGCCACUGGCAGGUUGGUAGCAUAUAAUAGAUGAGCAUCAGUGAAGGGAAACCCACCCACUGGGGCAGCAAUCCAUUGUGCCAAUCCAUGGUGCCAAUCUUUCUGCUGAUCCAUCUGUAAAUUAGUCUUGAGUUCCUCCUUUCACUGGCAUUUGACAGUACUAGACUUCCAGUAUGAUGCAAAAUAGGAAUGAAUUGAAAGGAAGGAGACAGUAAUUAAUAAAAACAAACAGUGUAUGUCUAGGCCACCUGCUCCUACAUUUUAGUCUUGUCUGCUGGACCCGCCUAAGCCCAGUCCUCUGAGUACCAUGAAAGGAUACUAUUGUUCGUCCCCAGUAUCACAACUAGGUGGGAUAUGUACUACCCAGUUUGUUGUAAGCAGUUCGUUAUGCUUAGUUCCAUGGUACCUCUGACGGCCACAUCCUAAAGCAAACCCUAAUGAGGCCCACCCUUAUAUAAUUCCCUCCUCUGAAGUAUAAGUGGGGUCUGAAACUACCAGACAAGAGAUGACAGCCAAGGAGAUGAAAUCAUUGUCACAUUGUCACGAUUGUCAUAUGGGAAGCUGCAUAGGAUCACAUGGAAAGAUAGAGAACCAAUAAUAUGCCCUAAUAAGUAUACUAAUAAAGUUUAAUGAAGAGAUUCCGCCCUAGCAUACUGGAAUAAGAGCCUCUCUAGCUGGCUCUUGAUGAUGUAUGCCUGUGAGAAGGUCACUUGGCAAGGAACUGUGAGCAAUCUUAGGCCAAGCCAGGCCCAUGAUCAACAAGCCCUAAAGCUGUGUAACACUGAAUUCUGUCAACAAGCAUGUGAGUUUUGAAGAGGAGCCCAAGCUCCGUAAAGGAAUGCACCCUGGCCAAAGCCUUGACUGCAUCCUUGCAAGACCCUGUGCAGAGGACCUUCCUGAGCCAAGAUCAGAUUCCUGAAACAUAGAGAAGCACUAUUUGUUGAUUUAAAUAGGUAUGUUUAUGGCAACAUUGUAACUCAGCAAUAGUUAGCCAAUACACUGAGGAGUAACCUGGCACUCAGUCUCUAUUAGCACAUCACAUGGUAUUCUAAAGAGAAUGGUUUUCUGCCAACAACGCUUGUCCAGCCCUGUUCCAGAGCCUAAGAGAUCUACACUGUGAUUUGCCUAAGGGGUUGCCUGAAAAUAAAUGUACAAAAAUCUCAUUGUAAGAUGGUCUAGAGACUGGCUGCAGAAAUCCCCAUGCCCCUGGCCUCCACUGAAACUAGCAUCCAUCUAGUUACCAAAAGAAGAUCAAAAUGAAUCAAUAUUCUCAUUAGAGUUUGUAUUCUAUACAAACUUGCAAAUAACAAAACAGUACUUUUUCAGUGGUCAGGGGUGCAAAGUAUAGUAUUAUAGACUUGGAGUAAAUGUUCUACCCCAGGCUUCUGAAACUAUAAAAAUUCUCAAAGCGGAUAUAUUCAUCAAUAUAAUGAGUUAAUAUGAUAUUUUGUGUAGAGUUAAAAUAAUGCUGAAAUAGGUGGUAAGCAUGCCCUCCUCAUAUAAACUACCCUUUAACUUUUUAUUGACAUAUAAUUGGCAUACAAAAUAUGGAGAAUUUGUGGUCUUUUGAUAUUUAUUUAUUUAUUUAUUUGUUGUAUAUUAAUUUUGUCUGCAUAUGUGUGUACCACAUUCAUGCAGGUGCCCAGAGAGGCCAAUUCCCCUAGAGCUGGAAUUAUAGACAUUCUGAACCACCAUGCAGGUGCAGGAACUCUAACCCAAGACCUAUGCUAGAGUAGUAAUUGCAACUUUCGAUCAUCCCCCCCAAAAGUACAUUCAUGUUUUCUUCCAGUUAAUCUCUUGUUAAUCCAGAGGCGAACUCUUUCUGGUUUUUCUCUACAUGGAUUUGCACUGCCUGAAUCUUGGAAAUCAUAUUAGUGGAGUCAUACAGCACUCAUUUUUAUAUGCCUAGUUCUUUUGUGGAAAUAAUGCAAAGAGGUUCUCAAUUCUCCCUACUGAUAAGCACCAAAUAAUUUUCAAGAUCUGACUCUUAUUUACUUGAAGGCAAUGAGGAUAGUGAGAUGGAACUUGAGAAACGCAAUCUAAGAAGGCACUUACUUAAAGUGCAAUCAUUAUGCAAUGCUUAUGAAAAAGAAAGUUAUUCUCUGGAAAAGGAAAAGGGCUAGUCUUACAGCAAGAAAAGUUAAGGAAUUUGAUUCAUCCUCCUAAAUCACAGCAUAGAUCUCUGUGUUCCAAUAUUUCCCUCUCUGAUGUUGACAUAGUGGACCUGGCAAUACUGUAGUAUGUGCACUUGGUCAUUUUCAUAUCUGAACCACGCCUAUCAUCAGAUCCUGAGCCUGAUUUUUACUGCAAUCUGCUCUGCAGUUCUUCAUGGUCAAGGUCUCCUUUAAGAUUAUCAUAAAAGCAGAGAUUCUACUUCAGUCAAAUACUAGAUUCUAAAAUCCUUAUGAAGAGCAUUGUUUGUAUGCCAAGUAGGUGUGAUAGCAACAUAACUUGUCCAUCUCUUGUGCUCCACCUAUAUAUCAUAUCUUCAAAAUAGCACACACCAUGGGUAAAAGCUCAAGUAACUGUAAUAUUCCUCAUAGGAAGGGGAUUAGGACAGCUGAACAAUACAGACCUAAAACCCCAUCCUGACCAUUUGAUUCAAGAACUAAUUCUUGACUGGUAAGAUGGUUCUGCAGGUAAAACACUUGGUGCACAAAGCCUGAUGACCUGAGUUUGAUGCCUGGAACCCACGAUGGGAAGGGAGAACCCGUUUCUAAAAGUUAUACUCUGCACUCCAUACGAACACUAUGGCAUACACACGAGAGUUCUGACUGGCACCCUCUACUAGUGGGCUGCAGGCAUCUGUUGGAAGCCAGAUGCCCACAUGCCAAGCUCCUUGCUCAGUCAAGAAAAGACACACUGUCCAGACUUGGUUUCAUCAGGAAAGCCUCUGGCAAACAAAAAGAACUUUGUGUCAAAGUCUUUCUCCUACAUUGGCUACCAGCUGUAAUAGCAUCUGAACUUCCUAUGACUCUGUUGACCAGAACAUAGUGACAUGUACUUCUCACUCAACUGGCAAGGAUUCCUUUCUUUCCCAGAGUCCCAGUUACAUGUGCCAGAACUCAAUAAUGAGUUGCCCAGUCCCUGUCCACAAAGACGUAAUUCAUGGG
Cricetulus griseus (Chinese hamster) is the source of this 3900-nucleotide non-coding RNA. The record is from RefSeq and is a predicted model, not a curated record. Lineage: Eukaryota; Metazoa; Chordata; Mammalia; Rodentia; Cricetidae.